AGUCGUAACAAGGUUUCUGUAGGUGAACCUGCAGAAGGAUCAUUAGUGAAAGUUUCGGGCCUGCCAUACGGACGCAAACACGUCUCUGGCGCCCAUCACUAUAUCCAUACCAACCCCUGUGCACUGUGAUGACGAAUGUCAUCGAACAAAAAAAAACUCGUAUGGUUGAAUGUACGUGAAAUUGUAGGUAUAGCCUACGAACUAUACACAACUUUCGACAACGGAUCUCUUGGUUCUCCCAUCGAUGAAGAACGCAGCGAAACGCGAUAGGUAAUGUGAAUUGCAGAAUUCCGUGAAUCAUCGAAUCUUUGAACGCACCUUGCGCUCCAUGGUAUUCCGUGGAGCAUGCCUGUUUGAGUGCCGCGAAUUCUCCCUCCCCUUACGGUGGCCGAAAGGCCGAAGUAGGGCGGACGGGGUAGGAUGGGUGUUUGCUGCCUGGGGAUUGUACCAGGCUCGCCCGAAAUGCAUAAGCGCCAGGACCCUCGCUACCGCUCUCUAGGGAAGAGUGGCUAAGCGACCGCUGAGCAUGGCAUGAUACGUCAUUUGCUGUGUGUGGGCGGCCGGUUGGAGAGGUGUCUGCUUUACCAGCCCUAUUUUAAUUCUGGUCUCAAAUCAGGUAGGAUCACCCGCUGAACCUAAGCAUAUCAAUAAGCGGAGG
RNAcentral lists this unclassified non-coding RNA (658 nucleotides) under Malassezia sympodialis. RNAcentral's name for it is "sequence contains 18S rRNA gene, ITS1, 5.8S rRNA gene, ITS2, 28S rRNA gene". The stretch from base 210 to 363 matches the Rfam family "5.8S ribosomal RNA". Lineage: Eukaryota; Fungi; Basidiomycota; Malasseziomycetes; Malasseziales; Malasseziaceae. The record is from RNAcentral.